Molecule: ribosomal RNA, 304 nt
Filed under: uncultured bacterium
Lineage: Bacteria
Description: partial 16S ribosomal RNA
Rfam family: Bacterial small subunit ribosomal RNA
Source: RNAcentral
CAGCAGCCGCCGCGGGAAUACGUAGGAUGCGAGCGUUAAUCGGAAUUACUGGGCGUAAAGCGUGCGCAGGCGGUUGUGUAAGACAGGUGUGAAAUCCCCGGGCUUAACCUGGGAACUGCGCUUGUGACUGCACAGCUAGAGUAUGGCAGAGGGGGGUGGAAUUCCACGUGUAGCAGUGAAAUGCGUAGAGAUGUGGAGGAACACCGAUGGCGAAGGCAGCCCCCUGGGCCAAUACUGACGCUCAUGCACGAAAGCGUGGGGAGCAAACAGGAUUAGAUACCCCAGUAGUCCCUGUCUCUUAUAC